GGUAGGAUUGCCUGCAGGGGGCGCUCCAUAAUCCCAACAUGAUCUCAGUGACGUUUUGAAGGUCACAUGACCUGCAGUACAUGACACCUGAGCUGCUCUGACUGAUCCAGUGAACAUGUUCGUGUUCAGAAACUGUCUUCCUGCUUUUUUGCUGCUGCUUCUGCAAACGUCAGAUUCAUCUGCAGGUAAUGACGUGACCCAAACCCCCCUGCUGUGGACGGAGGAAGGCGGCAGCGCCACCAUGGAGUGCAGCCACACCAAAGAUCACGGACACUUCCAGAUCUACUGGUACAGACAGCUGCCUGGAAGAACCAUGGAGCUGGUCGUCUUCACGUCUACAGCUCAAAGAGGAGGAGAGCACGACUUUGGAGCUUUCAGCAAAGAAAGGUUCUCAGCCACCAAGACAGAAGCUGAGAGAGGAACGUUCACAGGUGCAGCCUGAAGAUAAAGGCUUGUAUUUCUGUGCUGUGAGUCAACACAGUGAUACAAACCCAUGAGAGAGCUGAACUAAAACCUCUCAGCUGAUCCCAUCAAUGCUGUCCUCUAGAGGGCGCUAAAGAGUAAGAUCAGCAGGUGAUGCAGAAGCGUUUCCAGCUGGUGUCUCCUCCCCUCUGAGCUGAUCUCCUGUCAUGUUCAUGCCGUCAGUCCACACUGAGACACAG
Oryzias latipes (Japanese medaka) is the source of this 662-nucleotide non-coding RNA. NCBI's taxonomy places the organism in Eukaryota, Metazoa, Chordata, Actinopteri, Beloniformes, Adrianichthyidae. The record is from the annotation of a RefSeq genome assembly.